Molecule: ribosomal RNA, 484 nt
Filed under: uncultured bacterium
Lineage: Bacteria
Description: partial 16S ribosomal RNA
Rfam family: Bacterial small subunit ribosomal RNA
Source: RNAcentral
AUUGAACGCUGGCGGCAUGCUUUACACAUGCAAGUCGAACGGCAGCGCGGGCUUCGGCCUGGCGGCGAGUGGCGAACGGGUGAGUAAUACAUCGGAACGUGCCCAGUAGUGGGGGAUAGCUCGGCGAAAGCCGGAUUAAUACCGCAUACGACCUGAGGGUGAAAGCGGGGGAUCUUCGGACCUCGCGCUAUUGGAGCGGCCGAGGGCAGAUUAGCUAGUUGGUGGGGUAAAGGCCUACCAAGGCGACGAUCUGUAGCUGGUCUGAGAGGACGACCAGCCACACUGGAACUGAGACACGGCCCAGACUCCUACGGGAGGCAGCAGUGGGGAAUUUUGGACAAUGGGCGAAAGCCUGAUCCAGCAAUGCCGCGUGUGUGAUGAAGGCCUUCGGGUUGUAAAGCACUUUUGGCGGGAACGAAAAGGACUGUGCCAAUACCACGGUUCGAUGACGGUACCCGCAGAAUAAGCACCGGCUAACUACGUG